CCACACCACCCUGAACACGCCCAAUCUCGUCUGAUCUUGGAAGCUAAGCAGGGUUGGGCCUGGGUAGUACUGGGGUGGGAGAAAGCCCUAUACAUCAGAAACUUACAUAUGAAAACAGAAUG
RNAcentral lists this ribosomal RNA (122 nucleotides) under Jaculus jaculus (lesser Egyptian jerboa). Lineage: Eukaryota; Metazoa; Chordata; Mammalia; Rodentia; Dipodidae. The record is from RNAcentral.